This 1380-nucleotide long non-coding RNA is filed under the name Gallus gallus (chicken). Its description in RNAcentral is "lncRNA (ENSGALG00010017871.1)". The record is from RNAcentral. Lineage: Eukaryota; Metazoa; Chordata; Aves; Galliformes; Phasianidae.
CCUCUGAGCCUGAAGGGGAUGCUGGAGAUGUGACUGGAGGAGGUGAUCCAGGUUCCGCUCUGAGCUCUGGGACUGAAACUCCGGCAGAUCGCAUGGGAGUGCCCCCAGGGAGGGCUUUGCCCGGUCAUGUGUUUCCUCCUGCACUGGAGCCCAGCUGGAAUCCCAGCGGUCCGGAAAAAGGAAAGGAUGAAUCCAAAAGAGGAAAAUACUCCCAGGGCUCAUCCCGUCUCCUCAAGGAACUGGUGAAGGAAAUGGAGAAGGCAGCGCGUGGAACUGACCAACAAAGUGAGCAGGAUGCACUGCAGGAAGAAGGCAGCCAUCCCACACUGCCAGUCUCGGGCAGAGGAACGCAGGCAGCGCCAACAACUGUCAUGCCAGGGAUGAAUGCCGGGACGAGCACAAAGGCUGCUGUUGGCAGAUCUGCGCGAAGGCGCCACAUCGCAGCGAUGGUACUGUUCUCAGCUGUGCUGCUGUCUGCGCUGGUGCUGGCCUGUGGUGCUGUGAUAUGGAUGUGCCAAAAAUACGUAGUGUGCAAGAGAGAAGAGAGAGCAGCAGAGCAGGCUCAUCCUGAUACCAACUAGGAGAGAGUUCCAACUGGAGACGAGGGCAGAACGGAGCUGGGAGAGGCAGCCGAAGAGACUCUUGCCCCAUCAAAGAAGAAUCUCAGCCAUCGUCCCAGUGCAUUCCAUUCUGCCAUCCAAGAGGCCAAAGGUCUUCAAAGUCAUCUGGAAGACUUGGAGCUUGAACUCAAAGCCGUGAAAGAGGUCCACGGGAACAGUCCUGAGUGCUGCUUUCUGUCAGGGGACGGCCCUGAAAGUGAGAGCGGAGAACCAGCAGCAGAGCUUUUGUCCUUCACCCUGCAUUCUCUGGGACAAGCAUCAGCAACAUUUCAAAGAAUCUUAGCUCGGCAUAGCUACAAUCCUGUUGAGGGUCCUAAUGAGGAGCCAGAAAGCGAGCUUCCUCUGACCGCUGGACAACACCUUAACGUCUUUGGAGCUGUGGAUGAGAAUGGCUGGUUUCAGGGAGAGCUGACAGAUGGCACAAGAGGACUGGUCCCAUCCAAUUUGGUUGCGGAGGUUUCAGAUGACUGAACUGGAUACAACGAUGCCUCCGGAGCUCUGUGCUCUCCUGCUGGAUACUUGAUGAAUAAGUGGAUGCAGAGAUUCCAUCAUGCAGCAACAUCCUGUCAAAAUUCCUGCGUUACUCCAUCUGCAAGACUACCCCCUGCUCCACUUGAUGUUCAGGUGGAGUGUGUGCAGGACGUGGAUGAGCUCCUUUGGGAACACUCUGAGGUGACUGACAGUGUAACUGCAUAGUCUUGUGGUAUAUUAAACAAACAAACAAACAAACACCACCCACAAUAAAACAAACAACCAACCA